CACCGCCCGUCACACCACGAAAGUCCGUUGUACCAGAAGUCAGUGAGCUAACCUCGCAAGGGGAGGCAACGUGCCCAAGGUAUGACUGGUGAUUGGGGUG
This 100-nucleotide ribosomal RNA is filed under the name uncultured bacterium. RNAcentral's name for it is "partial 16S ribosomal RNA". The record is from RNAcentral.